GCGGGAGUAACUCAGUGGUAGAGUGCAACCUUGCCAAGGUUGAGGUCGAGGGUUCGAAUCCCUUCUCCCGCUCCA
This 75-nucleotide transfer RNA is filed under the name bacterium. RNAcentral's name for it is "tRNA-Gly". It matches the Rfam family "tRNA". Rfam says of the family: Transfer RNA (tRNA) molecules are approximately 80 nucleotides in length. Their secondary structure includes four short double-helical elements and three loops (D, anti-codon, and T loops). Further hydrogen bonds mediate the characteristic L-shaped molecular structure. tRNAs have two regions of fundamental functional importance: the anti-codon, which is responsible for specific mRNA codon recognition, and the 3' end, to which the tRNAs corresponding amino acid is attached (by aminoacyl-tRNA synthetases). tRNAs cope with the degeneracy of the genetic code in two manners: having more than one tRNA (with a specific anti-codon) for a particular amino acid; and 'wobble' base-pairing, i.e. permitting non-standard base-pairing at the 3rd anti-codon position. RNAcentral also lists the same sequence under 7 other names. The record is from RNAcentral.